RNAcentral lists this transfer RNA (73 nucleotides) under Crassvirales sp. RNAcentral describes it as "tRNA-Met". It matches the Rfam family "tRNA". From Rfam's summary of the family: Transfer RNA (tRNA) molecules are approximately 80 nucleotides in length. Their secondary structure includes four short double-helical elements and three loops (D, anti-codon, and T loops). The record is from RNAcentral. Lineage: Duplodnaviria; Heunggongvirae; Uroviricota; Caudoviricetes; Crassvirales.
CUCGGGAUGCUAGCAAUGGUAGCUAACCAGCCUCAUAAGCUGGAGGUUGUAGGUUCGAGUCCUACUCCCGAAA